Long non-coding RNA from Gavialis gangeticus (Gharial), 479 nucleotides. RefSeq lists it as uncharacterized. The transcript has 3 exons. The record is from RefSeq and is a predicted model, not a curated record. NCBI's taxonomy places the organism in Eukaryota, Metazoa, Chordata, Crocodylia, Gavialidae.
CAGACAGCCAUCAAGUACUGUGCUAGGUAGGAGACAUUUGAGGUGGACAGGAAAGGAAAGGUGUUAGUGCUGGUGAGAAGAAGGUUUGGCAGAGCUCAGCUGCCCUCCAAAUUCUCUUCCUUGCUGCUUAAACAGAUCCUGACAAGUCCAAAGCAGCAACCUUGUGAACGUAAUCUAGUGGUGGGAGGAAUGAUUUCAGGAUUAAAGAAAGGAAGUAGAUGAAGGGAAGGAGAAAGUGAUGCCAACCGGUUUAGCUUCAUUGUCAAAGCUGUGUGAAACCCCAAAAGCAAACAGCUUCAUUCAGUGUAAUCGUGUUGGGUUUUAAAAGUUUUCCCAGUUUUACUGUUAACAGAGGUCGAGAUGGAUUCUCACCCGGUAUAAAUCAGCACAGACCCAAAGCAUGCAAUGGAGCUAUGCUGAUUUCCACCAGCCACAAAUCUGGACAAGGGAAAUUAAAUCCUUCCCUCAGCUACCCUAGU